This 468-nucleotide ribosomal RNA is filed under the name uncultured bacterium. RNAcentral describes it as "partial 16S ribosomal RNA". It matches the Rfam family "Bacterial small subunit ribosomal RNA", at positions 28 to 507 of the family's 1533-position model. The record is from RNAcentral.
GACGAACGCUGGCGGCGUGCUUAACACAUGCAAGUCGAACGGAAAGGCCCUGCUUUUGUGGGGUUCUCGAGUGGCGAACGGGUGAGUAACACGUGAGUAACCUGCCCUUGACUUUGGGAUAACUUCAGGAAACUGGGGCUAAUACCGGAUAGGAGCUCCUGCUGCAUGGUGGGGGUUGGAAAGUUUCGGCGGUUGGGGAUGGACUCGCGGCUUAUCAGCUUGUUGGUGGGGUAGUGGCUUACCAAGGCUUUGACGGGUAGCCGGCCUGAGAGGGUGACCGGCCACAUUGGGACUGAGAUACGGCCCAGACUCCUACGGGAGGCAGCAGUGGGGAAUAUUGCAAAAUGGGCGGAAGCCUGAUGAAGCAACGCCGCGUGCGGGAUGAAGGCCUUCGGGUUGUAAACCGCUUUCGCCUGUGACGAAGCGUGAGUGACGGUAAUGGGUAAAGAAGCACCGGCUAACUACGUG